GUCAGAUGUGUAUAAGAGACAGGUGAGUCAUCGAAUCUUUGAACGCAAAUGGCACUGCCACGACAAGUGGCGGUAUGCCUGUUUGAGAACCGAAUAAAACAUCACCUCUAGUUAGAGGCGGACGUGCUUGUGACUGCGGUCUUGAGCUGAAAGUAUUGUUGCGGGCACUGUGUCCGGUGUAUGAUAGUCUUUACACCCAUGGCCGGUGCUAGUAAAUGCAGCACGGACAGUAUAUUUCAAAAACCGGUCUCAAAUCAGGCAAGGCUACCCGCUGAACUUAAGCAUAUCAAUAAGCGGAGG
This 300-nucleotide unclassified non-coding RNA is filed under the name uncultured fungus. RNAcentral's name for it is "sequence contains 5.8S rRNA gene, ITS2". The stretch from base 245 to 300 matches the Rfam family "Eukaryotic large subunit ribosomal RNA", at positions 1 to 56 of the family's 3401-position model. The record is from RNAcentral. Lineage: Eukaryota; Fungi.